Molecule: ribosomal RNA, 502 nt
Filed under: uncultured bacterium
Lineage: Bacteria
Description: bacterial SSU rRNA
Rfam family: Bacterial small subunit ribosomal RNA
Source: RNAcentral
UGGCGGCGUGCUUAACACAUGCAAGUCGAACGCGAAAGGGGCUUCGGCUCCGAGUAGAGUGGCGCACGGGUGAGUAACGCGUGGAUGAUCUGCCCUGAUGUUGGGAAUAACAGUUGGAAACGGCUGCUAAUACCGAAUACGCUCCCCCUUUCACCAUGGGAGGAAAGACGGCCUCUGCUUGCAAGCUGUCGCAUGAGGAUGAGUCCGCGUCCCAUUAGCUAGUUGGUGAGGUAACGGCCCACCAAGGCGACGAUGGGUAGCCGAUUUGAGAGGAUGAUCGGCCACACUGGAACUGAAACACGGUCCAGACUCCUACGGGAGGCAGCAGUGGGGAAUAUUGCGCAAUGGGCGAAAGCCUGACGCAGCGACGCCGCGUGAGGGAUGAAGGGUUCCUUCGGAUCGUAAACCUCUGUCAGAAGGGAAGAAAGCAGCGGGUGCCAAUCAGCCUGCUGUUGACGGUACCUUCAAAGGAAGCACCGGCUAACUCCGUGCCAGCAGCCGC